GAUGAAGAACGUAGUGAAAUGCGAUACGUAGUGUGAAUUGCAGAAUUCAGUGAAUCAUCGAAUCUUUGAACGCACAUUGCACCUCUCGGUAUUCCGGGAGGUAUGCCUGUUCGAGCGUCAUUUGUACCCUCAAGCUCUGCUUGGUGUUGGGUGUUUGUUCCGCCUCUGUGUGUGAACUCGCCUCAAAACAAUUGGCAGCCGGCGUACUUGUUUCGGAGCGCAGCACAUUUUGCGAUCCAGAUCAACGUACAGCGGCAUCCAAGAAGCCUUAUUUAACGCUCUUGACCUCGGAUCAGGUAGGGAUACCCGCUGAACUUAAGCAUAUUCAAUAAGCGGAGGA
Molecule: unclassified non-coding RNA, 340 nt
Filed under: soil metagenome
Description: partial contains 5.8S ribosomal RNA, internal transcribed spacer 2, and large subunit ribosomal RNA
Rfam family: 5.8S ribosomal RNA (bases 1-120)
Source: RNAcentral